Molecule: long non-coding RNA, 2367 nt
Organism: Haliotis rufescens (red abalone)
Lineage: Eukaryota; Metazoa; Mollusca; Gastropoda; Lepetellida; Haliotidae
Exons: 2
Source: RefSeq, a predicted model, not a curated record
GUAUAUGUUGUGGUAUUUUAUUAGCGUCAUGAUUGACAUGUGUUUAAUGGAUGGGUGAAGCAAUGCCUUUUGUGGGUUAUUAUUAUUAUCCACAUAAUGAUGAUGUGCUAACCCUCUUGUGGGAUUGCAGGUGCCCGGUUCACAUAGUGAUUGACGGUUCCUCAUUGAAAUGGUUUAGUGAAAUAACAUGCAAUGUGGUUCAGGAAAAAAUCAAGAGAAAGUAAAGGCUCAGUUUAUGCAUCUGAGGACUAGGUACAUGUAGUCUGGAAGAUAAGCUGUUACGGCUUUGUCAGGUCUGAAAGGAAUUUACCCGUUAUAGUUUGAAAGAUUGGAAGCUGAUUUGUUAUUUUCUUAGUUGUUUAUUGCCACACCCAUCAAUAUUCCAGCUAUAAAUGAUGGUAGCAAUUAGAAGCUGAAGACUACUGAAUCAAAAUUAAUCAGAUGCAAAUAACACCAAAUUUAACAUUUACAAAUUACCUAAUACAUUUGUAAGGGGCUUUUUUUUACCUGACUGGACAGUUCUGCAAGUGUUUUUUUGGCUAUGAUAUUGGAAGACCUGAAAAGUUGAUAGCCAAUUCUACUUUUUAACAUGUGUCUACUUGAAAACUUUUCAGAGUUUAUCAUACUUUUUUUUUCAUUACAAUGUUUGGAGAUCGUGGUGUGUGCCUUUCAUCCCUAGCACUGAACUGCAUGUUGUAGUUGUUGUUGUUGUUGUCUGUGGUCUGGAAUGUUGUGUGGUAGCAUGGUUGUCAAUAAUAAGUUUUUUAGUUCAGUGUUCUAACAGUGUUGGUGUUGUGUUUGGACUCAUUAAUCUAUUACAGUUCCUACAACAAGUGGGGCGGUUGGGUAGCCUAGUGGUUAAAGCGUUCGCUUGUCACGUCGAAGACUUGGGUUCGAUUCUUAACAUGGGUUCAAUGUGUGAAUCCCAUUUCUGGCGUCCCUUGCCAUGAUAUUGCUGGAAAAUUGCUAAAAGUGGCAUAAACCACACUCACUCACUCAUUCACUCCUACAACAAACAAACAAUGGUUGAAGCCAGGACUACAUCAGCAGUAGCACCCUCAAUUAUCCAGUGUGUAUACAUCAGCAGUAUAACCCUCAAUACAUCAGCAGUAGCACCCUCAAUUAUCCAGUGUGUAUACAUGAGCAGUAGCACCCUCAAUUAUCCAGUGUGUAUACAUCAGCAGUAACACCCUCAAUUAUCCAGUGUGUAUACAUCAGCCGUAACACCCUGAUUAUCCAGUGUGUAUGCAUCAGCAGUAGCUCCCUCAAUUAUCCAGUGUGUAUACAUCAGCAGUAGCUCCCUCAAUUAUCCAGUGUGCAUACAUCAGCAGUAACACCCUCAAUUAUCCAGUGUGUAUACAUCAGCCGUAACACCCUGAUUAUCCAGUGUGUAUACAUCAGCCGUAACACCCUGAAUAUCCAGUGUGUAUGCAUCAGCAGUAGCUCCCUCAAUUAUCCAGUGUGUAUACAUCAGCAAUAGCACCCUCAAUUAUCCAGUGUGUAUACAUCAGCAGUAGCACCCUCACCCUUUGGCAUAAAAACAUUCUCUUGGUUUUUAUUACCAAAAAAAUUCACCAAGUUCAUAUGUUUAUUCUUGAACAACCGAAAGUUAAACAGCAGUGUCUGAACAAAAUUAAGUAUCUAAAAAAUUUUGAGAUAUAGAAAAAAGGAAGUUUGAGAAUAUCAACAAAUUUAAAUAAAAAAAUCAGUUUUGAAUAUAAUUUUUGGAUUAAUCUUAAGGAAUACAAUUAGAAAUUCAACAUUCUCACAAAACUAAAGCUUCAUUAAGAAAUAUGAAAUUAAAACAGUUUAAACCUCAAUAUGAGUUUACUGUUCUGUAUGUAAUCCAAUAGAUCCAUCAAUACAACGCUAAUUACACAACUAAGAAGACAUGAGAUGGAUUCUACUUUUGUCGUAAUAUCAAUGAGUUUUAGACACGGAAAUGGGUGUGUCUGGUUGUUAUGGGUUUGUUAUUGCCCCAGUGCUUAAUGUAAUGUGCUUAUUCUCCAAUGGCUACCUUUUUGCAAUGAGCAGGUAUUAACGAAAUUCAAUAUCUGUGCAUCUGGGAAUAGUCUGUCUGCUUGCUGGUCUAUAAAAUGAUUCUCAGAAUAUGAUUGUGCAGUUGCUUUCCUGUCUUUCUUGUUAAGUGGAGGUUCUUCGUGGUUGUAUGAAAAUGGAAUUAGAAAACCCGUUAGACAUGCCUGACUCCAGCGAAACCAAUCGCAAGUUGAAAAACUUGACGCAAGAUCUCCGUCGACAUGCCAAGAUGCAGCGAAUUAAAGUGUCAGAAGCAUGUCGGGAUAUAAUGGCAUACUGUGACGCCAACCAACAAACUGAUAUGCUUAUAUUCCCAGCAAGGGACAACCA